CCCAGCGCUGAAGCGCUGGGCUAAGCUCGGUCGCCCCUCCGGGGCU
RNAcentral lists this small RNA (46 nucleotides) under Acidobacteriia bacterium SbA2. RNAcentral's name for it is "Solibacteres bacterium SbA2 Acido-Lenti-1". It matches the Rfam family "Acido-Lenti-1 RNA". The record is from RNAcentral. Lineage: Bacteria; Pseudomonadati; Acidobacteriota; Terriglobia.